RNAcentral lists this ribosomal RNA (439 nucleotides) under uncultured bacterium. RNAcentral describes it as "partial 16S ribosomal RNA". It matches the Rfam family "Bacterial small subunit ribosomal RNA", at positions 339 to 795 of the family's 1533-position model. The record is from RNAcentral.
CUACGGGUUGCAGCAGUGGGGAAUAUUGCACAAUGGGCGCAAGCCUGAUGCAGCGACGCCGCGUGAGCGAUGAAGUAUUUCGGUAUGUAAAGCUCUAUCAGCAGGGAAGAUAAUGACGGUACCUGACUAAGAAGCACCGGCUAAAUACGUGCCAGCAGCCGCGGUAAUACGUAUGGUGCAAGCGUUAUCCGGAUUUACUGGGUGUAAAGGGAGCGUAGGUGGUUUGGCAAGUCAGAUGUGAAAGCCUGGGGCUCAACCCCGGAACUGCAUUUGAAACUGCCAGACUAGAGUGCAGGAGAGGUAAGUGGAAUUCCUAGUGUAGCGGUGAAAUGCGUAGAUAUUAGGAGGAACACCAGUGGCGAAGGCGGCUUACUGGACUGUAACUGACACUGAGGCUCGAAAGCGUGGGGAGCAAACAGGAUUAGAUACCCCGGUAGUC